AAAAAUAAAAGAAGAAGAAGAAGAUGCAUACACGUAUAACUCAAAAACAAAUCAGAUGAACAUAAGCAACCAAGUUAUCGUAAUUCAACAUAUAGACUAGACGCAUUAUGUUAAAAAGGCAUAAGAUCUAGUACCAUCCUGCAACCUCUUGCCCUAGAAAGUAGGUAAUUUAAGCAACUCAUAAAAGGCAUUUCCAUCCAUAAUCAACAGGCAGAGUCAACAACAUAGCUUUAAUCUCAAUUUACACAAUAAGUUUCCGGCGCCAAACAUAAUCCAGAGCACCAUAUAAGUAGAUAUAUAUAUAACGAUAAAUUAAGUUGGCAUAAGACCAUAUCCUAUUACAUUAUUUACCCCCUGGCCUUUAGCUCUGCAAGACGCCUUGACAAAUCA
RNAcentral lists this unclassified non-coding RNA (390 nucleotides) under Hevea brasiliensis (rubber tree). The record is from RNAcentral. Lineage: Eukaryota; Viridiplantae; Streptophyta; Magnoliopsida; Malpighiales; Euphorbiaceae.